ACCGGCGCAUGGGUUGAGUAACGCGCUAUGCAACCUACCUUUAACUGGGGCAUAGCUCGAGGAAACUCGAAUUAAUUCCCCAUAGUACAUUAUAAUAUCUCAUGAUAUAAAUGUUAAAGAUUUAUCGGUUAAAGAUGGGCAUGCGUCUGAUUAGUUUGUUGGUAAGGUAACGGCUUACCAAGACUACGAUCAGUAGGGGGUCUGAGAGGAUGAUCCCCCACACUGGUACUGAGACACGGACCAGACAUCUACGGAUGGCAGCAGUAAGGAAUAUUGGGCAAUGGGCGCAAGCCUGACCCAGCCAUGCCGCGUGCAGGAUGACGACCCUAUGGGUUGUAAACUGCUUUUAUAUAGGAAGAAAAUACUCUUGCGAGAGGAUCUGACGGUACUAUAUGAAUAAGGACCGGCUAACUCCGUGCCAGCAGCCGCGGUAAUACGGAGGGUUCAAGCGUUUUCCGGAUUUAUUGGGUUUAAAGAGUGCGUAGGUGGUUUAUUAAGUCAGUGGUGAAAUCCUGCAGCUCAACUGUAGAACUGCCAUUGAUACUGGUAAACUUGAGUUUGGUUUAGGUAAGCGGAAUUUAUGAUGUAGCGGUGAAAUGCAUAGAUAUCAUAAGGAACACCGAUAGCGAAGGCGGCUUACUGGACCACAACUGACACUGAGGCACGAAAGCGUGGGUAGCGAACAG
Molecule: ribosomal RNA, 686 nt
Filed under: uncultured Bacteroidota bacterium
Lineage: Bacteria; Pseudomonadati; Bacteroidota
Description: bacterial SSU rRNA
Rfam family: Bacterial small subunit ribosomal RNA
Source: RNAcentral